Molecule: ribosomal RNA, 402 nt
Filed under: uncultured prokaryote
Description: bacterial SSU rRNA
Rfam family: Bacterial small subunit ribosomal RNA
Source: RNAcentral
UGGGGAAUAUUGGGCAAUGGGCGAAAGCCUGACCCAGCAACGCCGCGUGAAGGAAGAAGGUUUUCGGAUCGUAAACUUCUAUCCUUGGUGAAGAUAAUGACGGUAGCCAAGAAGGAAGCCCCGGCUAACUACGUGCCAGCAGCCGCGGGAAUACGUAGGGGGCAAGCGUGGUCCGGAAUGAUUGGGCGUAAAGGGCGCGUAGGCGGCCUGGUAAGUCUGGAGUGAAAGUCCUGCUUUUAAGGUGGGAAUUGCUUUGGAUACUGCCGGGCUUGAGUGCAGGAGAGGUAAGUGGAAUUCCCGGUGUAGCGGUGAAAUGCGUAGAGAUCGGGAGGAACACCAGUGGCGAAGGCGACUUACUGGACUGUAACUGACGCUGAGGCGCGAAAGUGUGGGGAGCAAACA